UACGGAGGGUGCGAGCGUUGUUCGGAAUUAUUGGGCGUAAAGGGCGCGUAGGCGGUUUUGUAAGUCUGAUGUGAAAGCCCUGGGCUCAACCCGGGAAGUGCAUUGGAAACUGGGAGACUUGAGUACGGGAGAGGGCAGUGGAAUUUCUGGUGUAGGAGUGAAAUGCGUAGAUAUCAGGAGGAACACCGGUGGCGAAGGCGGCUGCCUGGACCGAUAUUGACGCUGAGGCGCGAAAGCGUGGGGAGCAAACAGG
Molecule: ribosomal RNA, 253 nt
Filed under: uncultured prokaryote
Description: partial 16S ribosomal RNA
Rfam family: Bacterial small subunit ribosomal RNA
Source: RNAcentral